Molecule: ribosomal RNA, 994 nt
Filed under: uncultured bacterium
Lineage: Bacteria
Description: bacterial SSU rRNA
Rfam family: Bacterial small subunit ribosomal RNA
Source: RNAcentral
GUCCCAGCCGCCGCGGUAAUACGGAGGGUGCGAGCGUUAAUCGGAAUUACUGGGCGUAAAGCGCGCGUAGGUGGCUUGAUAAGCCGGUUGUGAAAGCCCCGGGCUCAACCUGGGAACGGCAUCCGGAACUGUCAGGCUAGAGUGCAGGAGAGGAAGGUAGAAUUCCCGGUGUAGCGGUGAAAUGCGUAGAGAUCGGGAGGAAUACCAGUGGCGAAGGCGGCCUUCUGGACUGACACUGACACUGAGGUGCGAAAGCGUGGGUAGCAAACAGGAUUAGAUACCCUGGUAGUCCACGCCGUAAACGAUGUCGACUAGCCGUUGGGGUCCUUGAGACCUUUGUGGCGCAGUUAACGCGAUAAGUCGACCGCCUGGGGAGUACGGCCGCAAGGUUAAAACUCAAAUGAAUUGACGGGGGCCCGCACAAGCGGUGGAGCAUGUGGUUUAAUUCGAUGCAACGCGAAGAACCUUACCUACCCUUGACAUCGUGCGAACUUGGUAGAGAUACCUUGGUGCCUUCGGGAACGCACAGACAGGUGCUGCAUGGCUGUCGUCAGCUCGUGUUGUGAAAUGUUGGGUUAAGUCCCGUAACGAGCGCAACCCUUGUCCCUAUUUGCCAGCGAUUCGGUCGGGAACUCUAGGGAGACUGCCGGUGACAAACCGGAGGAAGGUGGGGACGACGUCAAGUCAUCAUGGCCCUUACGGGUAGGGCUACACACGUGCUACAAUGGUCGGUACAAAGGGUUGCAAUACCGCGAGGUGGAGCUAAUCCCAUAAAGCCGGUCUCAGUCCGGAUCGGAGUCUGCAACUCGACUCCGUGAAGUCGGAAUCGCUAGUAAUCGUGAAUCAGAAUGUCACGGUGAAUACGUUCCCGGGCCUUGUACACACCGCCCGUCACACCAUGGGAGUGGACUGCACCAGAAGUGGUUAGCCUAACUUCGGAGGGCGAUCACCACGGUGUGGUUCAUGACUGGGGUGAAGUCGUAACAAGGUAACC